Long non-coding RNA from Gallus gallus (chicken), 1577 nucleotides. Lineage: Eukaryota; Metazoa; Chordata; Aves; Galliformes; Phasianidae. The record is from Ensembl.
GGUGAUCUCAAGCACUGACGUGGGUUGGGUGGAGAAUGGCUGGAGAGCGGCCCCGUGGAGAAGGAUUUGGGAGUGUGGACUGCUGAGAGAUUGAGCGCGAGCUGGCAAGGUGUGCUCGCUGCCCAGAAGGCCAAGCGUAGCCUGGGUUGCGUGAAGAGGAAGAAGCGUGGAAGUGGGAGAGUGUAUGUUUAGACCAGGUGUUGGGAAGAAGUUCCUUACUGUGAGGCUGCCAUGGCAGACGUUUUCUUUGGAAUAUACAAGUGGUGUUCCAGGUAUCCUGUCAGGUCUUCAACAGUCACAUCAUCGACAUAGGUGGGAGCCUCCUCAGAAUAGGAUGUGGGAGAAGUCCACGAGGCUGUUUCACAGAGGGGUCUGUUAAGCGUGGAUAAGGAGAAACAAGCUGAGGUUUGGCUGUUGUGUGAGUCAGAGUGGAAGGAUGAGGGCAGAGCGAGGCAGUUCUCCCGUGACAGAGCGCAGUGUCUCCUGGUGGCGGCAGAAAUCCCCACCGUGCUCAGUGCUGUUCCCUGCCACCACGUCAGCCCACAUCCCCUGCUGGGGACAGCGUGCUGCCAGCAUAUGCCGGGUCACCUGCUGUCCGUGGGGACCGGGUAACGGCACGGAGCAGUGUGAGGACUGCAGCCCCGCUUAGCAGUGUGCCCCGUGGAUGUGGGGCUGCCCCAUGGCUGUGGCCGCUGCAGUGAGGGCUCCUGCGUGGGGCUGCGGUGUGUGCCUGCCUGCCUGCCUGCCAUCCCAGGGUGGGCCGGGAGAGGAGAGCAGCUGAGCUGGCAUGGUGCCUGCGCCUGGGGAGCUAUUUGGAGAUGCGUUUGAUGUCUCCGCCGCAAGGGUGAUGGAUGCUGGGGCGAACGUCGUGAUGGCACAGCCAACGCUCUGUGCUGGGCUUUGAAGUCUCCCGAGCGGAGCAUCCCAGCUCGCAGAUUUGGGAAGACAUGGACUACGGGGCAGGAGAUGCUACUUGCCAAGGCGGCUACGUGAGGAGCAGCCUCAGAGCUCAACAUCCCAGCUGCACCCUGCUCCAGGAGGACGCAGGAGUUCCCCGUCAGCUGUCCCUUCCUCCGCAUCUCUGUCACUGUGUCCCCGGUGUGCAGACCCCGGUGAGAUGCCGCCACGCACCGUGGGCUCCUGAAGCCAUGGAGCAGCACAGACCCAAGGAGGAGGACGAGCAGGCUGAGUGCGUAAACGUGGGAGGAUACAGGACAGGAGACCCGGAACGUCCGUGCCGUGAGAGACCGGCCGGUCCUCCUGCAGUCCUCUCACACCUGCAGGGUCAGAACAGGUGAACAGACUGAGACGGCUGUUGGUGUGCAGUCCCUGACAGGAGCAGCGGAAGAGCCUUAAGGAAGCGGGGCUCUCCCAGAAGAGAGAGGCACGCAAACACUGCUGCUGUAAAGCUCCUGGAGGGCCGUCCGCAGGCUGCGCUCCUCCUCGUCCUCGUCGUCGUCGUCCUCGUCCUCGUCGUCGUCCUGCUGCUGCUGCUGCUGCUCCUCCUCGUCCUCGUGCCGCCUGUUUGCAAGCCAAGGACACGUGAAAGGAACGUCAGCGGGACUGAGGCGGAGCUG